Molecule: long non-coding RNA, 756 nt
Filed under: Medicago truncatula (barrel medic)
Lineage: Eukaryota; Viridiplantae; Streptophyta; Magnoliopsida; Fabales; Fabaceae
Description: lncRNA gene23149
Source: RNAcentral
UUUUUUUAUGUUAAUUCAAUUGUUUUUCCAAAUUGUUAUGUUUUGGAGAGGAAUCGUUUGGGUGAAAAUCAGGUUUUUGAGUAAAAACCUUCAAAAACCUGUUUUAAGAACUUUUGAGAAAUAAGUUAUUUUGGGUGAUUUGAAUUAAAUUGCUUUGGGUUAGAAAACUAUAUUUUUCGAUGAGUAUUGAUUGUUUAAGUGUUUGGAACGAAUUCGGUGAAAGUGGAAUAAAAAAUGGACCGACGAAAAGUGUUGUUUUGCUGUGACAGGCAAAACGCACGGUCUGCAUCAGGGAGUGCACAACUGCAUUUUUCAUGUUUAGCAUCCUACGUGAACCAAUUAUAGCUAUACCAACUCGAAUUAGUUAUAAGUUAACAUGGUUUCAAAUCACAACAACCUUCAGUUUCUUAUAUAAGUAUGAAUCAAUUGACCGACUCUUCUUAGGCAUGAAACAUUUUGUUUGAAAGCCAUAUACAAUCAUUGUGUGUUGCAACAAUUGAUUAUUCUAUCAAAGAGUGAGAGAGGAAAUGGAGGAAGAAAUUAGGUUAAGGGGUGUGAGGAAUAGAAAGAGAAUUAAAACAAGAGUAAUAAUUGAAAAUUAGAAAAGGAAUUAAGGGUGUUUUUGUCAAUUUAAGGGGUAAUAAUAUGAAAUGCACAAAUUUCAAGUCAAAGUUACCAAUUUAAACUUCAUGUGCAAAAUAAAAAAACCCUUAAUAAAUAAACAAUUUUUCCUUAUAUGUCAUAAUUUUAUAAAAA